GUGUCAGCCGCCGCGGUAAUACGGAGGGUGCGAGCGUUGUCCGGAUUUAUUGGGUUUAAAGGGUGCGUAGGUGGCUAUUUAAGCCAGUGGUGAAAGCCCAUCGCUUAACGAUGGAACUGCCAUUGGAACUGAAUAGCUUGAGUAUCGUUGAAGUAGGCGGAAUUUAUGGUGUAGCGGUGAAAUGCAUAGAUACCAUAAAGAACACCGAUAGCGUAGGCAGCUUGCUAAGCGAUAACUGACACUGAGGCACGAAAGCAUGGGGAGCGAACAGGAUUAGAUACCCUGGUAGUCCAUGCCGUAAACGAUGAUUACUCGCUGUUGGCGAUAUACAGUCAGCGGCCAAGCGAAAGCGUUAAGUAAUCCACCUGGGGAGUACGUCCGCAAGGAUGAAACUCAAAUGAAUUGACGGGG
Molecule: ribosomal RNA, 411 nt
Filed under: uncultured prokaryote
Description: bacterial SSU rRNA
Rfam family: Bacterial small subunit ribosomal RNA
Source: RNAcentral